UAAGGUUCUCAAGCAUCUUUCAACCUCAUUUUGAUCAAAAGUAUCUCAAAGUUUUAUUGCUUAUUUCUUAAGAAAAGUCAAAGGUUCAUGUGUUUAUUUUCAUGCCUUCUUCAACAAGUUACCUCAAUCUUUGAUAAAUUUAAUCAAAAUACAUUCAGGGAUACCUUAUUUUGAGUCCAUAUGAUCAUUCACGUACCUUGAAAUGAAAGAGAAGUCCACAUACACAAGUUUAUUCCAAGAGGUUUGACCAAUAAGUCAACAUUUGAAGUCAAAG
Molecule: long non-coding RNA, 274 nt
Filed under: Lathyrus oleraceus (garden pea)
Lineage: Eukaryota; Viridiplantae; Streptophyta; Magnoliopsida; Fabales; Fabaceae
Description: Pisum sativum (pea) long non-coding RNA (PSAT_LNC018991)
Source: RNAcentral